GGCCCGUACUAAGCAGACUGCCCGCAAGUCGACUGGCGGCAAGGCCCCGAGAAAGCAGCUGGCCACCAAAGCGGCCCGCAAGAGCGCGCCGGCCACGGGCGGGGUGAAGAAGCCGCACCGCUACCGGCCCGGCACCGUGGCUCUGCGGGAGAUCCGGCGCUACCAGAAGUCUACGGAGCUGCUGAUCCGCAAGCUGCCCUUCCAGCGGCUGGUACGCGAGAUCGCGCAGGACUUUAAGACGGACCUGCGCUUCCAGAGCUCGGCCGUGAUGGCGCUGCAGGAGGCCAGCGAGGCCUACCUGGUGGGGCUGUUCGAAGACACGAACCUGUGCGCCAUCCAUGCCAAGCGCGUGACCAUCAUGCCCAAGGACAUCCAGUUGGCCCGCCGCAUCCGCGGGGAGCGGGCCUAAGCGAAAUCCGCUCCUGCUCCCAAGAAGGGCUCCAAAAAGGCUGUUACGAAAGUGCAGAAGAAGGACGGCAAGAAGCGCAAGCGCAGCCGCAAGGAGAGCUACUCCGUUUACGUGUACAAGGUGCUGAAGCAGGUCCACCCCGACACCGGCAUCUCGUCCAAGGCCAUGGGCAUCAUGAACUCCUUCGUCAACGACAUCUUCGAGCGCAUCGCGGGAGAGGCGUCCCGCCUGGCGCACUACAACAAGCGCUCCACCAUCACCUCCCGCGAGAUCCAGACGGCCGUGCGCCUG
RNAcentral lists this small RNA (700 nucleotides) under Pan troglodytes (chimpanzee). RNAcentral describes it as "processed transcript". The record is from RNAcentral. Lineage: Eukaryota; Metazoa; Chordata; Mammalia; Primates; Hominidae.